This 793-nucleotide ribosomal RNA is filed under the name uncultured bacterium. RNAcentral's name for it is "bacterial SSU rRNA". It matches the Rfam family "Bacterial small subunit ribosomal RNA", at positions 636 to 1429 of the family's 1533-position model. The record is from RNAcentral.
UNUGACUUGAGUGCAGAAGGGGAGAGUGGAAUUCCAUGUGUAGCGGUGAAAUGCGUAGAUAUAUGGAGGANCACCAGUGGCGAAAGCGGCUCUCUGGUCUGUCACUGACGCUGAGGCUCGAAAGCGUGGGUAGCGAACAGGAUUAGAUACCCUGGUAGUNCACGCCGUAAACGAUGAGUGCUAGGUGUUAGGCCCUUUCCGGGGCUUAGUGCCGGAGCUAACGCAAUAAGCACUCCGCCUGGGGAGUACGACCGCAAGGUUGAAACUCAAAGGAAUUGACGGGGGCCCGCACAAGCGGUGGAGCAUGUGGUUUAAUUCGAAGCAACGCGAAGAACCUUACCAGGUCUUGACAUCCCGAUGCUAUUCUUAGAGAUAGGAAGUUACUUCGGUACAUCGGAGACAGGUGGUGCAUGGUUGUCGUCAGCUCGUGUCGUGAGAUGUUGGGUUAAGUCCCGCAACGAGCGCAACCCUUAUUGUUAGUUGCCAUCAUUAAGUUGGGCACUCUAGCGAGACUGCCGGUAAUAAACCGGAGGAAGGUGGGGAUGACGUCAAAUCAUCAUGCCCCUUAUGACCUGGGCUACACACGUGCUACAAUGGUCGGUACAACGAGUUGCGAGCCGGUGACGGCAAGCUAAUCUCUGAAAGCCGAUCUCAGUUCGGAUUGGAGGCUGCAACUCGCCUCCAUGAAGUCGGAAUCGCUAGUAAUCGCGGAUCAGCACGCCGCGGUGAAUACGUUCCCGGGCCUUGUACACACCGCCCGUCACACCACGAGAGUUUGUAACACCCGAUGUCG